Molecule: ribosomal RNA, 490 nt
Filed under: uncultured bacterium
Lineage: Bacteria
Description: partial 16S ribosomal RNA
Rfam family: Bacterial small subunit ribosomal RNA
Source: RNAcentral
AUUGAACGCUGGCGGCAGGCCUAACACAUGCAAGUCGAACGGUAACAGGAAGAAGCUUGCUUCUUUGCUGACGAGUGUCGGACGGGUGAGUAAUGUCUGGGAAACUGCCUGAUUGAGGGGGAUAACUACUGGAAACGGUAGCUAAUACCGCAUAAUGUCGCAAGACCAAAGAGGGGGACCUUCUGGCCUCUUGCCAUCGGAUGUGCCCAGAUGGGAUUAGCUAGUAGGUGGGGUAACGGCUCACCUAGGCGACGAUCCCUAGCUGGUCUGAGAGGAUGACCAGCCACACUGGAACUGAGACACGGUCCAGACUCCUACGGGAGGCAGCAGUGGGGAAUAUUGCACAAUGGGCGCAAGCCUGAUGCAGCUAUGCCGCGUGUAUGAAGAAGGCCUUCGGGUUGUAAAGUACUUUCAGCGGGGAGGAAGGGAGUAAAGUUAAUACCUUGGCUCAUUGACGUUACCCGCAGAAGAAGCACCGGCUAACUCCGUG